This 474-nucleotide ribosomal RNA is filed under the name uncultured bacterium. RNAcentral's name for it is "bacterial SSU rRNA". It matches the Rfam family "Bacterial small subunit ribosomal RNA", at positions 43 to 524 of the family's 1533-position model. The record is from RNAcentral.
CAGGCCUAACACAUGCAAGUCGAACGGUGGUAGCAAUACCACAGUGGCAAACGGGUGCGUAACGCGUAAGCAACCUGCCCCAAACCGGGGGAUAGCCCGGCGAAAGCUGGGGUAAACCCGCACGGUCUCAAGAGAUCACCUGGUUUUUUGAGUAAACAUUUAUGGGUUUGGGAGGGGCUUGCGUCUGAUUAGCUGGUUGGCGGGGUAAGAGCCCACCAAGGCGAUGAUCAGUAGGGGUUCUGAGAGGAUUGGCCCCCACAUGGGUACUGAGAUACGGACCCAACUCCUACGGGAGGCAGCAGUAGGGAAUAUUGGGCAAUGGGCGCAAGCCUGACCCAGCCAUGCCGCGUGGAGGAUGAAGGCGCUCAGCGUUGUAAACUUCUUUUAUCGGGGAAGAACGGCAGCCCUGCGGGAUUGUGUGACGGUACUCGAGGAAUAAGCACCGGCUAACUCCGUGCCAGCAGCCGCGGUAAU